AGUUGGUGGAGUGAUUUGUCUGGUUAAUUCCGAUAACGAACGAGACCUUAACCUGCUAAAUAGUAGUACGAAAGAGCUUUCGUAUAAAGCUUCUUAGAGGGACUUUGCGUGUCUAACGCAAGGAAGUUUGAGGCAAUAACAGGU
Molecule: ribosomal RNA, 144 nt
Filed under: uncultured eukaryote
Lineage: Eukaryota
Description: partial small subunit ribosomal RNA
Rfam family: Eukaryotic small subunit ribosomal RNA
Source: RNAcentral